Zeugodacus cucurbitae (melon fly) is the source of this 1119-nucleotide long non-coding RNA. RefSeq lists it as uncharacterized. NCBI's taxonomy places the organism in Eukaryota, Metazoa, Arthropoda, Insecta, Diptera, Tephritidae. The transcript is spliced from 3 exons. The record is from RefSeq and is a predicted model, not a curated record.
AUAUAGAUUUCGAGAAUUGCGAAAGCGCAACCACAUAACAGUAGUGAUUGAUUAAUAUAAAUAAAUAUGUAUGUUUUGUAUAUUGUGUACUGAAACGCUUUGUUUAUAGACAAUAAUCCACUUUCAUAUAGACCAAACAAUAAUAUUUUGUGUUUUUAAGUAAAAUAUUGAUUUGGAGAGAAAAAUUUGUAUUUACAGCGUAAAAUUGUAAUAAAAAAAAUCAUUUACACAAUUCAGUUGACUGUUGAUGAGUAAUAAAAUACGUACGUGCUGUUUGAAAAUUCUACAUAAACUAUGAAAGCAAUUAUUUUCAAAAUUUCUGCAAGAAUAAGUAUGUAUAAAGCAAUGAUGGACUACUUGAACUACCGAAAAAGCAAGAUAACCUAAAUUGAUAUUUUUUUACUUUAAUAUCAAUUGAUGCUCUUGUUGUAAGUGAUCUGGGGUUAUCAGUAGGUACUUAUUUCUUAUUUCCAGCAUAUAAUAUAUAACUAACAGUUCACAUAUUCAAUAAGCGGCAACCAAAAUGCAAAUCGAAAUGCAAAUGCACAUGUUUUUUGGGAUAGCUAAGUUAAGUAACAUUUCAAACCAGACCGGAUUAAAUUUCAAAAUAUUGCGGCUGCAUCACUAUCUAUUACAAUCAACUUUACGGAUGUUGGCUAUGCACCAAUGCAUGCAUAUGUGUAACUCAGCAUGUUGGAAAGUGUUGCAAUCGUUACACAUGCAACCAAAAAUACACAAUGGAAAAUAGAAACUACUAUGUUGUCGCGUGCGCAUUGAAGCGAUCGCUAUGGAUAUACAAUCUGCUGCAUAUUUGCAAUGAACAGCAAGAACAUUCAUUCAAUAAUUAUUGUUGUAGGUGCUACCGCUAGUCAUAUAUGUGUAGUGCAUUUUUCACCCCUUUUACGUGAAUCAUAAUAUGAAUUAAUUAAGGAAGGGCGCACGUCCAGGGGCCAAAGCGUAAUGACCAAACUGGUUGGCUGGUAGAAGAUAUUUACACACGCUGAAGCCAUGAAUUGCCUUUGUAAGUCCACGAAUAUUCCUGUUGUGGUGGUGAUCACUGACACCUGCUACCAAUUUUGCAGCAUUCAAUUUUUAAUGUGAAUAUUUUUUUUUAAAUAA